Molecule: ribosomal RNA, 465 nt
Filed under: uncultured bacterium
Lineage: Bacteria
Description: partial 16S ribosomal RNA
Rfam family: Bacterial small subunit ribosomal RNA
Source: RNAcentral
CCUACGGGGUGCAGCAGUGGGGAAUAUUGCGCAAUGGGCGAAAGCCUGACGCAGCGACGCCGCGUGAGGGAUGAAGGUCUUCGGAUCGUAAACCUCUGUCAGCAGGGAAGAACGGUCACUGUGCUAAUCAGCAGUGAAUUGACGGUACCUGCAAAGGAAGCACCGGCUAACUCCGUGCCAGCAGCCGCGGUAAUACGGAGGGUGCGAGCGUUAAUCGGAAUUACUGGGCGUAAAGCGCUCGUAGGCGGUAUGUCAAGUCAAGGGUGAAAUCCCCGCGCUCAACGUGGGAACUGCCUUUGAAACUGGCAAACUGGAGUGUGUGAGAGGAUAGUGGAAUUCCAGGUGUAGGAGUGAAAUCCGUAGAUAUCGCGCAGAACUCCGAUUGCGAAGGCAGCAUGCCGGCUCCACACUGACGCUGAGGCACGAAAGCGUGGGUAUCGAACAGGAUUAGAUACCCUUGUAGUC